ACCAGACACAGGCAAACGACAAACCACAGAUCACAGAUGAGGAAGGAGAGGCACAGUAUACCUAUUUCCUCUUUGUAAAGACUUCUGGCAAACAUUGCUGGAGGUGGAGCGUCUACAGACUCUCAGUCAGCUGUUGGAGGCCUACCUGGAGUGGAAGAGACAGGAGCCACUCUUCUGGUGCUGGAUGGAUAGUGUUGUGGACAGCCAGCUCUCAGACCUGAGAGAGGAGGACACUGUAGAGAACAUGUCACCUGUACACCAAGUUGUCAAUAGGUGCUUUCCCUACGGUUACAAGGACAAGGAGGGUCUGGAACAACUGGACAACAUGCUGCUGAGGCUGCAGACAGGGCUGAAGGACACAUACACAAGACAGAGCAGAAAAGCGCAGAGUGUUCUUCAAGACGUUGAGGAGUUGGAGGAGAUUGAGAGGAGAGUGGCUCUCAGGCUGCAUGGCUUGGCUGAGUCCUGUACUUCAACUCCUACAUCUGGUUGCUGUAGUUACAGGCCAAGUCUCCAGGGGCCACAGCCACUUCCCAACCACCACCAGUCUUGGAGGUCAGGGUCUGUGCUCCCACAAGCCUGUGACGGGGCAGUGCUGCCAGGCAAGGUGUCUGGGACGGGCACGGUGAUGGUCCAAGUCCAGGCCUCCUCACUGAUUGUCGAGCUGCAGCAGAGAGAGGGCUUCCUGCUGGGGGAACUGGGCCAGAUGAGGCAGGCGAAGCGGGGACAGAUCCAGGAGAAGACAGCCAGCUGGCUGGAGGGGGCUGGAGUUGUCCUCAUCCCCCCUCUCCCUCUCAAGAGAUAAACACUAACAGGAUGCUACUUCAGGGUGUCUGUGUGUGCAAGCGAGUGAACAGGAUGCUGUUCAGCUUGGUGGCUGACAGACUGUCUGUCCUAGAAAUAGAAUGACUAGAAGGUGCAAAGCUGCUCGGCAAUUUGUGGCUAUCUGUUCUAUUAAUUAUAUUUCUACGGCUACUGCUAAUAUAUUGUGAUGGGAUGGACUGCAUGUGAUAUAUUUCAAAUGACAUCUGUUGAUAUCAAGAUAUUUGUGUGUGUUGAUGUAAUCCACUGUGGGAGAGAACAUAAACACCUGUGUGGGCUGGCUGUUAAGUUGCUGUGUUGUUUUUUUUCUUGUGUCUUAUCUUUUCUCGGUGCCAAGCUUUCAGGAGAG
RNAcentral lists this long non-coding RNA (1171 nucleotides) under Salmo salar (Atlantic salmon). RNAcentral describes it as "lncRNA (ENSSSAG00000089687.1, ENSSSAG00000119346.1)". The record is from RNAcentral. Lineage: Eukaryota; Metazoa; Chordata; Actinopteri; Salmoniformes; Salmonidae.